RNAcentral lists this ribosomal RNA (428 nucleotides) under Verrucomicrobiota bacterium. RNAcentral's name for it is "Verrucomicrobia bacterium partial 16S ribosomal RNA". It matches the Rfam family "Bacterial small subunit ribosomal RNA", at positions 355 to 776 of the family's 1533-position model. The record is from RNAcentral. Lineage: Bacteria; Pseudomonadati; Verrucomicrobiota.
UAGGGAAUCUUCCGCAAUGGACGAAAGUCUGACGGAGCAACGCCGCGUGAGUGAAGAAGGAUUUCGGUUCGUAAAACUCUGUUGUUAGGGAAGAAAAAAUGUAUAGUAACUAUAUACAAAAGAGACGGUACCUAACCAGAAAGCCCCGGCUAACUACGUGCCAGCAGCCGCGGUAAUACGUAGGGGGCUAGCGUUGUCCGGAAUCACUGGGCGUAAAGGGUUCGCAGGCGGAAAUGCAAGUCAGGUGUAAAAGGCAGUAGCUUAACUACUGUAAGCAUUUGAAACUGCAUAUCUUGAGAAGAGUAGAGGUAAGUGGAAUUUUUAGUGUAGCGGUGAAAUGCGUAGAUAUUAAAAAGAAUACCGGUGGCGAAGGCGACUUACUGGGCUCAUUCUGACGCUGAGGAACGAAAGCGUGGGUAGCAAACAGG